RNAcentral lists this ribosomal RNA (593 nucleotides) under uncultured bacterium. Its description in RNAcentral is "bacterial SSU rRNA". It matches the Rfam family "Bacterial small subunit ribosomal RNA", at positions 60 to 647 of the family's 1533-position model. The record is from RNAcentral.
AGUCGAGCGAGAAGACGUAGCAAUACGUUUGUAAAGCGGCGAACGGGUGAGGAAUACAUGGGUAACCUACCCUCGAGUGGGGAAUAACUAGCCGAAAGGUUAGCUAAUACCGCAUACGGCUCCUGGUCUGCGGAUCGGGAGAGAAAGCGAUACCGUGGGUAUCGCGCUCUUGGAUGGGCUCAUGUCCUAUCAGCUUGUUGGUGAGGUAACGGCUCACCAAGGCUUCGACGGGUAGCUGGUCUGAGAGGACGAUCAGCCACACUGGCACUGCGACACGGGCCAGACUCCUACGGGAGGCAGCAGUAAGGAAUAUUGCGCAAUGGGCGACAGCCUGACGCAGCGACGCCGCGUGGGGGAUGAAGGUCUUCGGAUUGUAAACCCCUUUCGGCAGGGAAGAUGGAACGGGUAACCGUUCGGACGGUACCUGCAGAUGCAGCCACGGCUAACUUCGUGCCAGCAGCCGCGGUAAUACGAAGGUGGCAAGCGUUGUUCGGAUUUACUGGGCGUACAGGGAGCGUAGGCGGUUGGGUAAGCCCUUCGUGAAAUCUCCGGGCCUAACCCGGAAAGUGCGGAGGGGACUGCUCGGCUAGAGG